Molecule: ribosomal RNA, 402 nt
Filed under: uncultured bacterium
Lineage: Bacteria
Description: bacterial SSU rRNA
Rfam family: Bacterial small subunit ribosomal RNA
Source: RNAcentral
UGGGGAAUCUUGCACAAUGGGGGAAACCCUGAUGCAGCGACGCCGCGUGAACGAUGGAGCCCUUCGGGGUGUAAAGUUCUUUCGACGGGGACGAUAAUGACGGUACCCGGAGAAGAAGCUGCGGCUAACUACGUGCCAGCAGCCGCGGUAAUACGUAGGCAGCAAGCGUUGUUCGGAAUUACUGGGCGUAAAGAGUGCGUAGGUGGUUGGCCAAGUUUGGUGUGAAAUCUCCCGGCUUAACUGGGAGGGUGCGCCGAAAACUGGUUGACUAGAGUGUGGGAGAGGGACGUGGAAUUCCUGGUGUAGCGGUGAAAUGCGUAGAUAUCAGGAGGAACACCUGCGGUGUAGACGGCGUCCUGGACCAUGACUGACACUGAGGCACGAAAGCGUGGGGAGCAAACA